GCCACUUUAGAAUGUUUUUUUCCGAAGGAGGAGACAGAGCACACGCGAAGCUGCGAGGGAAUCGGGGACCCCGCACCCCGCAGGCGCACGGCGGGUUCCGGCCUCGGAUGAAACGCACACAGGACCCUGCUCUCUCCGGGACCUGCAGUCCCGCGCACAGAACGCAGCACUUCCCGGGAGAGCGCCUCGAAACUUCGUGAUCGGUUUUGCUCGGGGCUGAACAGCACGGGCAUUUGUGAAGUUCAAGUUUUUAGAAAAGCCAGCAGAGGCGAGGUCUCCACCGACGCAGAUCCAGGCGCAUCUAGGGUGGCCAGGGGUGGCCGCGCCCCAGAGGACGGGGACCCGCGCAGAGAGAAAGAAACGAGCCGGGCAAGAAGAUGAAAACCACAGCGAGGAGCAAGAGACUGAUUCUGCCUUAAGAUAGAGCGGCCUGUGUGAAUACUCCCACUGAUUGGCUGUCUCAGGAGGAAGUUGGCUUCCCCACCUACCUGUUGUCCUGUCUGGGAGCUUCUGUCCCAGCUUCCACUCUGGGCCAAGGCAGCUGCUGGGGAGGCUCUACUCCAAAACUCACUUGCUGCCUGGAGCUGAUGCCAACUGGUGGCUAACCUUGUGAAUUCAUUUCCUAAAGCCGACAGGACAGAAUCUUUAAGCUCACGGGGUUGGUAAGCCACAAACAGGCAGAAAUACUGACACAGUAAUCAACAAACGACAAGUGCUGGCGAGGAUAUGGAGAAAAAGGAACCCUCAUGCACUGCUGGUGGGA
Myotis davidii is the source of this 763-nucleotide long non-coding RNA. RefSeq lists it as uncharacterized. The record is from RefSeq and is a predicted model, not a curated record. NCBI's taxonomy places the organism in Eukaryota, Metazoa, Chordata, Mammalia, Chiroptera, Vespertilionidae. The transcript is spliced from 3 exons.